AUUUGUGAUAUCAAACUAGAUUUUUUUUGUCUUUAAAUAGGUUUGUUAUUUUCUGAGAAAUAAUAGUUUGUUAAACAAUUGGAUAUCUUUCUUAAUAUUCAAAAGUCUCGGCUUCAUGAAAAAUAUGAUCAUUAAUUUUUUUUUGUUAAGUAGGAAUUGUUGAUCAACAUGCUAAAUUUUUUAUUUCAUACCUAAAUUCUCAUUGUUUCUUUUCAUAGAUUGCUUUAUUUUUAUUACUUAAU
RNAcentral lists this long non-coding RNA (242 nucleotides) under Carica papaya (papaya). Its description in RNAcentral is "long non-coding RNA (CPAP_LNC013352)". The record is from RNAcentral. Lineage: Eukaryota; Viridiplantae; Streptophyta; Magnoliopsida; Brassicales; Caricaceae.